This 163-nucleotide unclassified non-coding RNA is filed under the name soil metagenome. RNAcentral's name for it is "partial internal transcribed spacer 1". The record is from RNAcentral.
CAGGACUCGCAAGACUCCUACAACCCUGUGAACCUACUAUAAGCACGUUGCUUCGGCGGGUGUCUUGGCCAGGGGAUCUCCGUCCCGCGGCGCGUCAGCCAGCCGGCAGCCUACAUAAUCCUGUCUCUUUGCGUUGGCAUCUCGAGUAAAAUCAAAUAAGUUA